UUGGUUGUUGGGCGAAGGUUGGUGCAGGAGGUGCGGUGUGACGCGCGGCCGCGGAUGGGCAAAAGUUUGUUUGGCUUGCCAAGUGAGAAAUACAGCAUGUCGCAUUUCAGCAGCAGAAGCACUGACUGCAAGGUGUACGUUGGUAACCUGGGGUCGAGCGCCAGUCGUAGCGAGCUAGAAGAUGCCUUCAUUGAGUACGGAGAUCUGACCAAUGUCUGGGUGGCUCGUAACCCUCCCGGGUUUGCGUUUGUCGAGUUCAAGAAUCGCAGGGAUGCGCAGCGUGCUGUGGACGCAUUGGAUGAUCGUCAUAUCUGUGGGCGUCGGGUCUCUGUCGAAAUGUCCACGGGAGAGUCCCGUAACCGCGGCCGGUACCCGCCGCGCCGGUCCAUGAGCGGCGAGAAGUGCUACGAGUGCGGCCAGAGGGGCCACUUCAUGCGGGACUGUCGCAAGUACGGCCGGCGCCGGCCCAGGCGAUCUCGCAGCAGGAGUCCCCACUACCACCCCAUCUAGUACGCUUGUCAGCUAGAUCAAAAGACUACUAGUCGUCUAAACCAAAGACUGCUAGUCAGCUAACCAAAGACAGCUAGUCAGCUAAACCAAAGACAACUAGUCAGCUAAACCAGCACGUCAGCUAAACAGCUAGACGGCUCUAGGUGCAACCAACCAACCAACCAACCUACCCCCACAGAGCAGCUAGUUCAGCUUAAACCACUAGCUAGCUCAUCACUACUCAACUCAACACAUGACCAUCAUGAAACCAACAUGUGACCAACAUGUGACCAACAUGUGACCAACAUGUGACCAACAUGUGAACAACAUGUGAACAACAUAUGCCCAUCAUGUGAUCAACACCACCUGUCCACAUGACUCACCAGUGACCAACAUAUCUACAACACUUGCGGCAUGCCCGUCUUUGCAGACUGACGGCUACACCAAAAUUCACCAACAUUUCAUCAACUUUGUUUGGGUUUUGGUUUUGAAGGACAAAGAAAUGAUAAAAAUCUCGCUCCUAUUCCCCACGCCGCUACCGGAGCCGAAGCAACUAUCGCAGCCGCUCUAGAAGCGAAAG
This 1069-nucleotide unclassified non-coding RNA is filed under the name Patiria miniata (bat star). Its description in RNAcentral is "serine/arginine-rich splicing factor 7-like, transcript variant X3". Lineage: Eukaryota; Metazoa; Echinodermata; Asteroidea; Valvatida; Asterinidae. The record is from RNAcentral.